This 198-nucleotide unclassified non-coding RNA is filed under the name uncultured Alnicola. Its description in RNAcentral is "sequence contains ITS2". RNAcentral also lists the same sequence under 1 other name. The record is from RNAcentral. Lineage: Eukaryota; Fungi; Basidiomycota; Agaricomycetes; Agaricales; Cortinariaceae.
AAUUCUCAACCUUUGUUAGCUUUUGCUGAUAAUGGCUUGGAUGUGGGGGUUGCCGGCUUCGGUCAGCUCUCCUUAAAUGCAUUAGCCGGUGCCCUAUGUGGACUGUCUGUUGGCGUGAUAAUUAUCUACGUCACGUGAUGUCUGCAACUUGAGCGCGCUGCUUCUAACCGUCUGUUCAUUCAGACAAUUCAAUGACAA